CAGACAGAGCCUCUCUUCUGAAUUGUGUCUAAAGACACAAUUGGCAGGAGGUAAAAGAAGAAAAGAUUUAUUUGCUGUUGUUUCCAUCAAGUUAACUACUGAUACAAUCUGUGUUUGUUUUUAUACUCUUUUUCUGCUUUUACAUUUAUAGGAUGCCUCCAUUCCCCAGCACACCUUGUUGAUUUAGUCUGGAAAGAGAAAAGUUCCCUUCACACAGCUCACACACAGCUCAGCAUCCCAGGGAGUGGAUGGGAACACCAAGAGGAGCUGUUCUCCCAUGAGAGGGCAGGGCAGUGACUGAAAAGCUCUGCAUUGACACAACAGCCUGGCAUGGACAGACUCGAAGUGAGAGGAUGCUGCCUGGGCCCCUGGAGGGUAUCUG
Molecule: long non-coding RNA, 382 nt
Filed under: Parus major (Great Tit)
Lineage: Eukaryota; Metazoa; Chordata; Aves; Passeriformes; Paridae
Description: lncRNA (ENSPMJG00000005366.1)
Source: RNAcentral